GUAGCUGGAUACAGAUUGGGUCCAGCAUGUGCGUAACCCGCAAAAAUAUAUCAGCAGCGGAUACUACAAAAAUGUUUUGAAUUUGCAACGAAUUGUCCUGAUGAUCCUCAGGUGGUGGGGAUGGCAGAUGUCCUCCUUAAGUUGCUAGCCCAUGUUUCAAGACCAUGAAUUAUACACAUUCCUUCCUUUUCAGGAUCUGCAAAGUCAAGAACAUGUGUAUUAGUUAAAUCGGUUUGAUACGUCGUGCAACGUGCAUUCCACGAGUAUAUCUGUAUCACACAACAGCAUAUGCAAACUAAGGAAACUAAACAGAAUUCUAAGAUGGAGUUCUUUUUGUUCACUAGCCGUGAUGCACAUGAAUAUGUAUAUUCAAGUAAUAUGGUGAAAACUGAAGAAAAAAGAAAGGCAACAAAGCGGCUGCAACUAAAAUCAUGUUCAUUUAAGUACCUCUUGAAGAUUUCGAAGCAGCCUUUCUUCGAAAUCGAUAAGUUCAGUCCCGGCAACGUUGCAUCUUCUCGGUUGAGGUGUUUGAGUUGACUCUGCUGGCAACACGUCCGAUUCUUCAAUAAGAGAAACAUUUAACGGGACAAGGAAAACAUUGUAGACAGAAUGGUUCUC
This 618-nucleotide long non-coding RNA is filed under the name Hordeum vulgare. Its description in RNAcentral is "long non-coding RNA (HVUL_LNC011093)". The record is from RNAcentral. Lineage: Eukaryota; Viridiplantae; Streptophyta; Magnoliopsida; Poales; Poaceae.